RNAcentral lists this ribosomal RNA (19 nucleotides) under Mucor irregularis. Its description in RNAcentral is "partial 28S ribosomal RNA". The record is from RNAcentral. Lineage: Eukaryota; Fungi; Mucoromycota; Mucoromycetes; Mucorales; Mucoraceae.
ACUUGAUCUGAAAUCAGGU